Molecule: ribosomal RNA, 492 nt
Filed under: uncultured bacterium
Lineage: Bacteria
Description: partial 16S ribosomal RNA
Rfam family: Bacterial small subunit ribosomal RNA
Source: RNAcentral
AGUGAACGCUGGCGGUAGGCCUAACACAUGCAAGUCGAACGGCAGCACAGUAAGAGCUUGCUCUUACGGGUGGCGAGUGGCGGACGGGUGAGGAAUACAUCGGAAUCUACUUUUUCGUGGGGGAUAACGUAGGGAAACUUACGCUAAUACCGCAUACGACCUACGGGUGAAAGCAGGGGAUCUUCUGACCUUGCGCGAUUGAAUGAGCCGAUGUCGGAUUAGCUAGUUGGCGGGGUAAAGGCCCACCAAGGCGACGAUCCGUAGCUGGUCUGAGAGGAUGAUCAGCCACACUGGAACUGAGACACGGUCCAGACUACUACGGGAGGCAGCAGUGGGGAAUAUUGGACAAUGGGCGCAAGCCUGAUCCAGCCAUACCGCGUGGGUGAAGAAGGCCUUCGGGUUGUAAAGCCGUUUUGUUGGGAAAGAAAAGCAGCAGGUUAAUACCCCGCUGUUCUGACGGUACCCAAAGAAUAAGCACCGGCUAACUUCGUG